This 406-nucleotide ribosomal RNA is filed under the name uncultured bacterium. Its description in RNAcentral is "partial 16S ribosomal RNA". It matches the Rfam family "Bacterial small subunit ribosomal RNA", at positions 30 to 526 of the family's 1533-position model. The record is from RNAcentral.
AUUGAACGCUGGCGGCAGGCCUAACACAUGCAAGUCGAGCGCGAGGCGGAGGGGUGAGUAUUGUCUGGGAAACUGCCUGCUAGAGGGGGGUAACUAUUGGAAACGGUAGCUAAUACCGCAUACCCUCAGAUGUGCACAGAUGGGAUUAGCUAGUAGGUGGGGUAACGGCUCACCUCGGCGACGAUCCCUAGCUGGUCUGAGAGGAUGACCAGCCACACGGGAACUGAGACACGGUCCAGAGUCCGACGGGAGGCAGCAGUGGGGAAUAUUGCACAAUGGGCGCAAGCCUGAUGCAGCCAUGCCGCGUGUGUGAAGAAGGCCUUAGGGUUGUAAAGCACUUUCAGCGGGGAGGCGUUACCCGCAGAAGAAGCACCGGCUAACUCCGUGCCAGCAGCCGCGGUAAUUC